GAAGUAUUCAUUCCCUGCUUAAGAUGAGGAUGAUGAUCAUCAUCAUCUUCUUGGUCUUUGUUUGUGUGUUGGAGUUUCUAAGCAAUGCUUGUGUUUUAUGUGAGGUUUUUAAUAAAGAGUGGAACCGUAUGCCUCCUCUAAUCUUAUGUAUGUCACCUCUCUUGUCUCUUUUGUUUCAUAUUGUAACUCCUAUUCUGUGUGAUUGAGUUGAGGCUUGAAUCUAGAGGAACUUAAUUAUAUAUCUUUGGUUUAGCUCAUUCCAACCACAUUUUGAUUAUUGUCACCAGUUUAACUCCCUAUCAAAGUUGAUAUCUUGGGGGGUAGGGGUGUAAAUUCGGUCCGUCCCAGCCCGGCCCAAACCUGCUAAGCCCUUAAAAUUUUGAGCCCGGUCCAAAAAUAUUUUGUGCCUAGAAUUCAAAGCUCGACCCGGUCUUUAUAGGACUGUAGGAUUUUUCGGGCUUUUUUUAAGCCUUUCGAAAAAUAAUUUGUUAUUUGUUAUAAAUCAUAUUGUGGAUGUCCAUAACCGGUCCGAUCCAUAACCAGUCCAUACAUGAGAGAGAGAGAGAGAGCCGGCGCCUAGCGAGAGAGUCGGCCAACCCUACUUUCCUUUUCCUUAUUAGUUUAUGAUUUGUACUCUUUCCAUAUUUGUAUUUCUUUUUCUCUAGUCUUUUCAUUAUUCUAUGACGGUGUAAUUCUCUAUAUAUAAAGGGCUCCUUAUGUUUAUGAAUAAUACAGAAACAUUGAUUCUAUUCUCUAGUUUCACAACACGUUAUCAGCACGAUCACGCUCUAAACCCUAAGCUAAACAAACCCUAGCCGAAGAAUCCAUAAUCCCCUCGACGAUAAACCCUAACCGUUGAGAACUCCCGAUCACGAACCCUAAACCUAAUUCUCAUCUUGUUCCCGUUCGUGACACGAUCCCAGCUCGCGACCUCAGACCGUCUCAGCUCGAUCCCGAGACACGAUCUCAGCCAGCUACCGCUCGCGACAACAGCUUGUUUCCGUUCGUGAUCAGACGAUCUCAGCUUCAGCUCGCGUUCCCGAUACCAGCAAGGACAGCUCACGAUCCGUUCCAGCUCUAGACGACCUCAGCUCGUUCGCUUAUCAAUCUCAAUAUUCAGCUCGCGGUUCUUCUUCUCAUUGGAGGUCCAUUCAACCCUACUUGAAGUUAAGGUAAUUCGAAACCUUAAAGAUAACCCAUAAUUGAAUGUUGAUUGCUUGAUAUGAAUUGAAACCAUAAAAUCUUAAACCCGAAUCGAAACCAUAGGGUAAAAGAUCAUAACAUCAAUGAGUAAAUCGAAGCUCAUAAUCAUAUGUUCGAUACCCCAAUUCUUGAUACCUUAGCCGCAUACAUGUAUCUUACAUGUUAUGCAAGAAAUCGAUCCAAACCCUAAAAGCUAAAGACAUGAUCGAUUUUAUAUAAACCCUAAUCGUAUUAUAUAUGUUCUAAAUUAAAAUCGAUUGAUUGUUUUGAAAUUAUAAUUGUAUGAUAGCUUGUUUGAUUAAUUAAAACUGAAUGUUUGUUUUGAUAUUGAAUGAGAUCGUAUUGUUAGAUUGAUCACAUAGAAAUCGUUUUGCUAGGAUUGAUAAACUCAUCCUCGAAUUUGGUUGUUUUGAAUUAAAACCGAUUGAAUGAAUUUGGAAUCGCAUGAUAGUCUUGAUUAAACCCUAACCGGCCUUGCUUAUAUGGAAACCCUAAUUGCAUUGAUAAAUUGAACAUGAUUCGUUAGGUUGAUAGAAAAUUAACUUCUUGAUGCAUUGCUUAAUUAUUUGAUUGCAAUUAUAUAACUUAGAAUUCGUAUGAACAUAUAGAAACCGUAUGAUAGGCUUGCAUUAUAACUAUAUGUACAUAUAGAAUUCGAAUUGCUUGGACAUACCUUAUAGCUGUGUGGCUUGUUUUGUAUCAUGCAUGCAUAUCACGUAUGAACUGAUUGCAUAUAGAAAUCGUAUGCUAGGAUUGUAAACGAAUAAAUAUUGCAUGAUCAUCUCUUGCUUGGCUGUGAGGCUUGUUCUUAGCCGUGAGGCUUGUUCUUAGCCGUGAGGCUUGUCAUGGCCGCAAGGCUUGUUUGAACUUAGAAACCUAAUUGCUUGAACAUAUUGAUUGCAUUCGCUUGAACACUUUUAAAUCUAAAUUAUUUUUAAAUCUAAAUUAUGAAACAUAUGAUUUCAGAUGUCGAAAAUCAACAACUUGGAUUUUGCUGCCCUAAGUCUCUCUGGAGAUAAUUACGUGCACUGGGCACUUGAUGCUAAGAUCAUCAUAAAAUCCAAGGGACUCGGUGAAUGUAUCACCGAGGGAAAUAAUGCAAGUGAGAAAGAUAGAUACAGUGUGAUAUUAAUUAUACGCCAUCAUCAUAUUGAGAGUCUUAAAGAUCAGUAUUUGACUAUUGAGAAUCCUCUAGACCUUUGGACAGAGUUGAAAACGAGAUAUGAUCACUAGAGAACGAUUUUAUUACCAAAGACUAUGUAUGAUUGGAGGAAUCUCAGAAUCCAGGACUUCAAGUCUGUGGACGAGUAUAACUCGGCCCUGUUUAAAAUAGUUUCAAAAUUGAAACUGUGUGGUGAGGAUAUGACGGAUAAGGAUAUGCUUGAGAAAACUUUUUCCACCUUCCACACAAGCAAUGUGUUGUUACAACAACAGUACCGUGAGAAGGGCUUCACAACUUAUGCUAAUUUGAUCUCUUGUCUCUUGCUCGCUGAGCAGAACAAUGAACAGUUGAUGAGAAACAGUGAAUUGAGACCUUCUGGAACAAACCCAUUACCUGAGGAACAUGCGACCGUAGAGGCUAAGAAAAAGUCGAACCAUGUCCAGAGUGAUAGCCAACACAACCGUGGUCGUGUAAAAUGGCAUGGACGUGGUGGUCGAGACCAAAACUCGUUUGGUCGAGGCCAAGGCAACUCAUAUGGCCGUGGCUCCUACGGAGGCCGUGGACAUGGCCGAGGCCGUGGUACAUCUUUCAAGCCACAAAACUCGACCAAAUCCGUGUGCCAUAGAUGUGGUAUGGAUAAUCAUUGGGCUAAGACAUGUAGGACUCCCAAACAUCUCGUUGAUCUUUACCAAGAGAGUUUGAAAGGGAAGAAUCCUGAAGCUCAUAUGACUUAUCAAGAUGGUGAAGAUGAUUUCAAUCAUGAACGAGACGAUCUUAUGGAUUAUGAAACUUCAGAUUGUUUAAAAGAAUGAAGUUGAAUUCAACAUCUAUGUUUUUGUGUUCUUUGCUUUAUGUUUUCUAUGUUUUGAUAUUGCUUUGAACUUGUUUUCUUAUUAUAACUUAAUGAAUGAAAGUUUUUGAUAUAAAAGUCUCUAAAGCAUCAUGACUAUACGUAUUGAUAAUGCUGGUGAGUUCACGUCCCCAAGCGUUUAAUGAUUAUUGUAUGUCCAUGGGGGUAAGUGUGGAACACUCUGUGGCACAUGUACAUACACAAAACGACUUGGCCGAAUCAUUCAUAAAACGAAUUCAGCUAAUAGCUAGACCAUUGCUUAUGAGGUCUAAGCUUCCGGCCACAGCUUGGGGACACACGGUCUUGCACGCGGCCGAACUGAUUCGUAUCAGACCGUCUAGUGAACAUAAAUAUUCCCCAUCACAAUUGCUUACGGGUCAUGAGCCAGACAUAUCUCAUCUUAAGACAUUUGGCUGUGCCGUCUAUGUACCAAUUGCUCCACCACAGAGAACAAAGAUGGGACCUCAAAGGAGGAUGGAGAUAUAUGUUGGAUAUGAUUCCCCCACGAUUAUAAAAUACCUUGAGCCAACUACGGGUGAUUUAUUUAAGGCCAGGUAUGCGGAUUGUCACUUUGAUGAAUCCGAACAUCCAACAUUAGGGGGGGAUAGCAAUAAGCUGGUAAAAAAAGAUUACAUGGAAUCAAACAUCCUUAUCUUAACAAGAUCCUCGGACUAAGGAAUGUGAUUUAGAAGUCUAAAAGAUUAUACAUUUACAAAAGCUAGCUAAUCAAUUGCCAGAUUCCUUUGCUGACCCGAAAAGAGUGACUAAGUCAUAUAUACCAGCUGCAAAUGCACCAAUCAGAAUUGAUGUUCAAGAGGGACACAAUCAAGUUGCUACAGAGUCUAGACAACGUUUGAAACGUGGUAGACCAAUAGGUUUCAAAGAUAAGAACUAUCGGAAAACUAAGAAAGGUGCAAAGAAUGAAACUGAGGUUGUUGAAACCCUAGGCACGACCAUGGCCGUUCCUAAAUCUCGGGACUUAACCGCGGCUGAUCCCAAAACCCUAAUAGCGAUCGCGGCUGAUCAUGAAUUCUUAGAUGCGGCCGGCCCUGAUGUAUCUAAUACUGAUUCUUGGGACGCCAAGAUUCAAGGUACUGAAGGUCCUGAUAAUAAUAAGAUCUCAAUAAACUAUGUCUUGUCUGGGAUACAAUGGAACAGAAAGAAUGUCGACAUUGAUGAUAUAUUUGCAUACAAGGUAUCACUUGAACUUAUGGAUUUGAAUGAGGAUCAUGAACCCACGUCUAUUUAUGAGUGCACUCAACGAUCAGAUUGGAUCAAAUGGAAAGAAGCUAUAAACGUGAAGCUAAACUCUUUAAAGAAUAGAGAUGUCUUUGGACCAAUAGUCCGGACACCAUAUGAUGUAAAAAUAGUCAGCUAUAAGUGGGUCUUUGUGAGGAAAAGAAAUGAACACGGGAAGGUCGUGAGAUAUAAAGCACGACUUGUUGCACAAGGAUUCUCACAAAGACUAGGAAUCAAUUAUGAGAAGACAUACUCCCCUAUGGUGGAUGCUACUACUUUUGAUUCCUUAUAAGUCUGGCUAUGAGAGAGACAUUAGACUUGCGGUUAAUGGAUGUUGUAACUGCAUACUUAUAUGGGCCACUGGAUAAUGAGAUUUAUAUGAAUGUACCAGAGGGUAUAGAGUUGAAAAACAAAUCGAGUACUCGAGAACAACACUGUAUAAAGUUGAAUAAGUCACUUUAUGGAUUGAAACAAUCAUGCCGAAUGUGGUACAAUAGGUUAAGUGAGUACCUAGAGAGAGAAGGAUACAAGAAUGAUCCGAUCAGCCCUUGUAUCUUUAUAAAGAAAUUCGGCCAGAGCUUUGUGAUUAUAGCAGUGUAUGUUGAUGAUUUAAAUAUCCUAGGAACCUCUGGAGAGAUUUCCCAAACAGUUGAAUAUCUUAAGAAAUAAUUCGAGAUGAAAGAUCUUGAAAAAAAAACAAAGUUUUGUUUGAGAUUACAGCUUGAGUACAUGGGAGAUGGAAUCCUUGUGCAUCAAAUGGCAUAUACAGAAAAGUACUCAAGAGAUUCAAUAUGGCCGAGUCUCACCCAUUGUCUAGCCCCAUGGUUGUGAGGUCUCUAGGCUUGGACACUGAUCUGUUUCGUCCUAUGAUGGACGAUGAAGAUGUCCUAGGUCCCGAAGUGUCAUAUCUCAGUGCCAUAGGAGCUUUGAUGUAUCUUGCUAGUCACACACGACCAGAUAUAUGUUUUGUCGUGAACCUACUAUCUAGGUUUAGCUCUUGUCCGAUCCAAAGGCACUGGAACGGGAUUAAACAUGUUCUUCGUUACCUAAAAGGAACGAAAGACUUGGGUCUAUUUUAUACUAACAAAAACAAAGAAGGUUUAGUUGGAUUUGCUGAUGCAGGUUAUCUUUUGGAUCCACACAAUGCUCGAUCACAGACAAGCUAUGUUUUCACACAUGGUGGAACGGCCAUAUCAUGGCGUUCCAUGAAGCAGACGAUCGCGGCCACAUCUUCAAACCAUUCGGAGAUAUUGGCUAUACAUGAGGCCAGUCGCGAGUGUGUUUGGUUGAGGUCCAUGACCCAACAUGUACGAGUUGAUUGUGGGAUGUCCGAAGGCAAGGACGCACCAACCGUGAUGUAUGAGGACAAUGCAGCAUGCAUUGCUCAGCUUAAGGACGGCUACAUCAAAGGAGAUAGGACAAAGCACAUCUUGCCUAAGUUCUUCUUCACGCAUGAACUACAGAAAACCUGCGAGGUCCAAGUGGUCCAAGUGCGUUCCAGUGACAACUCAGUUGAUCUAUUUACCAAGUCACUUCCUACCUCGACGUUCAGGAAGCUCACGCAUCAGAUAGGGAUGCGUAGACUGAAAGACCUUCAGUGAUGUUCAGAACAGGGGGAGUAAUACAUGUUGUACUCUUUUUCCUUCACCAUGGUUUUGUCCCAUGGGGUUUUCCUGGUAAGUUUUUAAUGAGGCAACAUCUAAAGCGUAUUACAAACUCUAUAUGGUUAUGACAUCCAAUGGGGAGUGUUAUAAAUCAUAUUGUGGAUGUCCAUAACAGCCCUGGUCCAUAACCGGCCCAUACAUGAGAGUGAGAGAGAGAGAGAGAGAGCCGGCGCCUAGAGAGAGUCGGCCAACCCUACUUUCUUUUUUCUUAUUAGUUUAUGAUUUGUACUCUUUCCAUAUUUGUAUUUCCUUUUCUCUAGUCUUUCUAUUAUUCUAUAACAGUGUAAUUUCUUAUAUAUAAAGGGCUCCUUAUGUUUAUGAAUAAUACAGAAACAUAGAUUUUAUUCUCUAGUUUCACAACAUUAUUGCCAUUCUAUCUUUUUAAUACAUAUGAAUUUUCAUUAAAGAAUCAGUUUCACUUUUUUGUUUUAAAAUAUAAAGUGAGUUUAAACUUUUCUUCUUUAUCAAAAUUAUUUAUUUAUUCGUAUGCUUUAAAACAUAUGAUAAGCAAUAAAAAUUUAAUAACAUUUAAAUAAUUAAAUAUAAAUUAAAACUGAAUAUACAUAAAAGAACAAAAUUUAUGAUAAAUAUGGUCAAACGUUUCAUAUUAUCUGUUUUGAAAAAAAAAACAUGUUGUACAUAAAAUAAGAAGGUACAUUUGCAAAAUUUAAAAUAUGAAACUUGUAAUGAUCAAACAAUAAUUUGCAUUAACAACUUUUAUUUUUUGUUUUUAUGAGAGUUUAGAUGAAAAUAUUACAAUAAUAUGUCAAAUACUAAUAAUGGUUUUGAUUGCAGAAAUGAUAAUAAUUAAUUAAAAUAUAAAAUCUUGGGUUUUCGGACCGGCCCUAACCCAAACGGUCUUAGACCCAAAAUACCCAAAGCCCAAAUGGACUUAGCCCGAAAGACUCAAUUUUUUGGGGCUUAUAAAACUAAACCUAAGCCCGGUAAUUUUUAGGACUGGACGGAUUCGGGCUGCGAACUUCGGCCCUAAUUGACAUGUCUAUCUGGGGGUACGGGGCCAUUCGACCUCUGUGGUACGGUAUACUUUUUAAGAUUAAAAAUAUUACCUUUUUAAAAAUAAAAUUGAAUUUUUAAAAUUAAAUAUAGGUCUAAAAAUUAUAAAUUUAUGUAUUCACAUAAUAAUACAGUAACUCUAAAUUGAUAUUUGGCUCAAUACAUUUAUGCUCUAAGUUUUUAUUUUCUUUAUUUGAAUGGAGGACAAUACCUGCAAGCUGCAGCCAUCAUAUCCAAAUAAUAACAUACGAAUUCUAACCAGAUAUUUGUCUCGAUACGUUUUUGUGUUUUUCGAGUUAAUUCAGGACUUUAAUCUCAAAUAGGACAAAUGGGUGAAAAAAAAUCUACAACCACCUAUUUUAAUCUACAUGGGACAAUAAUUAGAAAAUUACAAUAUUGCCAUUAAUGAAAGAACAAUAUGAGCCAUUCGAUUAUAUUUUCUUUCUUUAAACUAGAGUCGUCGGAUCAUAAAAAAAAAAGAGAAUAUGAUAUUUACGAAAACGCCAUUAAUGAAAUAUCAAUCAUAGCCGUUAGAUCAUCUUGUCUACGAUUUAAUCAUAGCCACACGAUUACAUCUAUCUCUCCUUCUCUCUCUUUUCUCUUAAUCUCAACCGCAUGAUCAUUUCUUCCUUCUUCAAUUACAACCAUAGGAUCUUCCUUAUCUCAUUCUUUAAUUCGACUGGGUAUAACUAGUAUAACUCGUACAACUGAACAGGUUAAGAAAUUUUAUAAAUGGUAUAUAAAUGUUAUAAUCUAUAUAUAAUAUGUAGCUACUAUAAUUAACACGACUAGUAAAUCAUGUUUUACAUAUGAAAUAAACAACAAAUAUCCUAAUUUGUAUAUAAUGAUAAAAUUUCAUAUAUUUUAUUUGAGAUUUAUCAACUAUAUUAGUCAUAUUAUAAUGAUAAACAAACAUCGAACAUAUUUUUGCAAAGCUAUGAAGUGAAAAUAUUGGUACAAUCUCUAAACCGAGACAUAUAAAAAAUUGAUAUCAUUUUUAUUAAAUAUUAAAUGAGCAUUAUUGGUAUAACUGGCACAACUUUGACAUUUCAUAAAUUUGACAAAACCAAUUUGGUAUUCCAUAUGAGAAAAAAUAAUCAAAUAUCUCAAUUUGUAUGUACUCAUAAGUUUCUCUUAAUUUAUUUGAAGUUUUGGAAUUUUUUUUUGAAAAUUAUUACAGAACUCCACAAGCUUACAUGAUCCACCUUACACUUUUAAGGUUAGUUAACUUGUUUGUUCACUAAAUUUUUGGAAAACAUACAUGAAAUGUAUUUUUACGAAAUUGAUGAUUUCAUUGUAACCGGGCUAAGACAUGUAAACAUAAAUAAGUGGUACAACUGAUGUAAUUGUAUUUAUUAUGUGGUACAACUAAUAUUUUACGAUUUCACUGCCAAAGUACAACUAUGCACAAACUGGUACAACUCAAAAACUAGUACAACUAUGUACAGCCGGUACAACUAGAAAACUAGUACAACUACUUGUUAUUUUAUUUAUUAUAAAUGACUAUAUUACCCUUGAUGAAAAUGCAUUCUCAACCAUUAGAUCAUCUCACUUCUUAUAAUCUGAACCACACGAUCUUUCUUCUCUCCUUCUCUCUUUCGGUUGGGACCCACUUCCUCUUUCUCUCAACCCUAGAUCAUUUUUCCCCUGUUCGAUCAUGGCCACACGAUUUCUAUCAUUUGUAUGUGUAUAACUAAUAUAACUUGUACAACUAAACAAGCGAACAAAUGAUAUAACUAGUAUUUACGUGACACGAGUAAUAAAUCAUGUUUUCCAUAUGAAAUAAACAAUAAAAUAUCUGAAUUGGUUAAUGGUGACAAAAUUUCGUUUAUUUUAAUUGAGAGUUUUCAAUAUUUUGUUUUAUUUACCAAAUGGAGAUGCGGUUUCUCUCUCGCGGUUCCAAGCCUGCUUGGUUAGAUUUGACGAGGACCACAUGGACACCACCAUCGAGCUUCCUCUUCUCCGUCAUGACUUCACUCUUCUUUGCUGUAUCUCUCUUCUUCUUCUUCACAGUGUAUUUCUUCUUCUUCGUUGCGGCACCUCUCUUUUUCACAGUAGAGUCCUUUUUGUUCAUCGCCGGUGAGUCAUUCUUACUCAUCGUCGACACUCCCUCUUUCUUCUUUUUCGGGUGACUCGUGUAUUUGGAACCAUGGUUAAAUUUUUUUCUGGCUCCGUAUCUACCUUUUUGGUCUUGAGAGCAAAAAGAUGAAGAUGGUUUUUUUUCGAAAAUAGUGCAACUAGUACAACUUGUAACAAAUCAUUAUCCAAAUCAAAUAUUAUUAAAAAUAUAUUAUUCAUGUAUUUAAUACAUGCAGGCGGGGAAGAUUAGACAAACAUGUAUUCUUGGUUCUACAUCAUCAUUUUUUUAUCAUCUUCAUACGCUGAAAACAAAAAAAUAAAAACCACUAUAUUAAUUGCAAAGUUGUACUGGUUAUACAUGUUUUACUUGUAUCAGUUAUAAUGGUUAUACUCAGACUAUUUAUACUAGUUAUACUCAUUGUAGUUGUACUAAUUGUACCAAUUUGAGUUGUAUCAAUUUGAGUUGUAUAGCUGUACUAGUUGGAGUUGUACUAGUUGUCUUAGUAAUACUAUGCGUUUCUUCUUUAUCUUCAAUCUCGUAAGUAAAAGAUGAAAUUUGAUUCUAGAUAAGAUAUAAUUGAUUAAACAUGACUAUGAGUUGAUCGAUUUGGAAUAAGAAAAAGAAAUUUGGUGGAUUAUUAAAGAAAUUUUUUGAUUUUGUUUUAAGGUGGAAGAAUGUUAAUGGAGAAAAAAAAGUGGAAGAAGAAGAAGAUUAGGGUUAAAAUUGGGUCGGAUUUUGGAUAUGGAUCCGGGUCAAAUCUGGGUAGGAUAGUCAUGGCAUAAACUAGUAAAUAUGUUUAAUUUUGUAGGUCUUAUGGUCGUUUACCCCCAUUUUUUUAUUUAUUUUUAAUAUAUUGUUUAAUUAAAAAUAGAAGAGAUCCAUUCUAGAUUUUUUUGACCCUUUUGUCCCAUACCAGCAUUUGAUCCGUUAAUUCAUGUUCGUUAAUAACUGCAUUCAUCAUGUCCAAAAUACCUGCAUAAGAAAAUGCCAUGUGAACACAAACAUAACAUCAUUCAACAAUUAAAAGUUUAAAACACAUCCCUUUGUUCUUUGUGUGUGUUUUGGGGUUUCUAAGCAAUGCUUGUGUUUAAUGUGAGGUUUUUAAUAAAGAGUAACUGUAUGCCUCCUCUUAUCUUAUGUAUGUCACCUCUCUUCUCUCUUUUGUUUCAUAUUGUAACUCCAAUUCUGUGUGAUUGAGUUGAGGUUUGAAUCUAGAGGAAC
Molecule: long non-coding RNA, 10433 nt
Filed under: Brassica napus (rape)
Lineage: Eukaryota; Viridiplantae; Streptophyta; Magnoliopsida; Brassicales; Brassicaceae
Description: long non-coding RNA (BNAP_LNC016403)
Source: RNAcentral